UACGAAGGGGGCUAGCGUUGUUCGGAUUUACUGGGCGUAAAGCGCACGUAGGCGGCUUUCUAAGUCGGGGGUGAAAUCCUGGAGCUCAACUCCAGAACUGCCUUCGACUACUGGAGAGCUUGAGUCCGGGAGAGGUGAGUGGAACUGCGAGUGUAGAGGUGAAAUUCGUAGAUAUUCGCAAGAACACCAGUGGCGAAGGCGGCUCACUGGCCCGGUACUGACGCUGAGGUGCGAAAGCGUGGGGAGCAAACAGG
Molecule: ribosomal RNA, 254 nt
Filed under: uncultured bacterium
Lineage: Bacteria
Description: partial 16S ribosomal RNA
Rfam family: Bacterial small subunit ribosomal RNA
Source: RNAcentral